CAGCAGCCACGGGAAUGCAGAGGAUGCAAGCGUUAUCCGGAAUGAUUGGCGUAAAGCGUCUGUAGGUGGCUUUCCAAGUCCGCCGUCAAAUCCCAGGGCUCAACCCUGGACAGGCGGUGGAAACUACCAAGCUGGAGUACGGUAGGGGCAGAGGGAAUUUCCAGUGGAGCGGUGAAAUGCGUUGAGAUCGAAAAGAUCACCAACAGCGAAAGCACUCUGCUGGGACGACACUGACACUAAGAGACGAAAGCUAGGGGAGCAAAUGGGAUUAGAUACCCGAGUAGUCCCUGUCUCUUAUACC
Molecule: ribosomal RNA, 301 nt
Filed under: uncultured bacterium
Lineage: Bacteria
Description: partial 16S ribosomal RNA
Rfam family: Bacterial small subunit ribosomal RNA
Source: RNAcentral